RNAcentral lists this long non-coding RNA (521 nucleotides) under Mytilus galloprovincialis (Mediterranean mussel). Lineage: Eukaryota; Metazoa; Mollusca; Bivalvia; Mytilida; Mytilidae. The record is from RNAcentral.
GUUGGCCUUGGGCUGUUUUCUGCUCUUUGGUCGGUUUGUUGUCUCUUUGACACCCCAUUUCCCAUUUCCAUUCUCAAUUUUAUUAUACUUAUUAGAGUUGAGCAAGUCUUAAUGUAGCACUGGUUGUAUUAUACUUAUUAGAGUUGAGCAAGUCUUAACGCAGCACUGGUUGUAUUAUACUUAUUAGAGUUGAGCAAGUCUUAAUGCAGCACUGGUUGUAUUAUACUUAUUAGAGUUGAGCAAGUCUUAAUGUAGCACUGGUUGUAUUAUACUUAUUAGAGUUGAGCAAGUCUUAACGCAGCACUGGUUGUAUUAUACGUAUUAGAGUUGAGCAAGUCUUAACGCAGCACUGGUUGUAUUAUACGUAUUAGAGUUGAGCAAGUCUUAAUGCAGCACUGGUUGUAUUAUACGUAUUAGAGUUGAGCAAGUCUUAAUGCAGCACUGGUUGUAUUAUACUUAUUAGAGUUGAGCAAGUCUUAAUGCAGCACUGGUUGUAUUAUACUUAUUAGAGUUGAGCAAGU